This 221-nucleotide unclassified non-coding RNA is filed under the name plant metagenome. RNAcentral's name for it is "partial contains small subunit ribosomal RNA, internal transcribed spacer 1, and 5.8S ribosomal RNA". The record is from RNAcentral.
UCUCCGUUGGUGAACCAGCGGAGGGAUCAUUACCUAGUUUACAACUCCCAAACCCUAUGUGAACCUUACCUUUUGUUGCAUCGGCGGGCUCGCGCUGACGCUUCACGGAGCCGGUUCGCAGGGCCCGCCGGACGCCCAAAACUCUUGUUUAUUUAUCUUUCCUCUCCGAGUGGCACAAGCAAAAUAAAUCAAAACUUUCAACAACGGAUCUCUUGGUUCUG